UUGAUGCCGAGUUUCUUCUAUAUUCUCUGUGUGAUUUGUUCACUCUCCUUGUACAGAGAUCACUGAGCUGCUGAGACCUGAAAAACAAUCACUUCAACAUGAUCAUGCAGCCAGCAGCGCAAAGGAAUCAAUGUAAAGAAUCCCAUCUGCUCUGUUGAGCGCCAGAGAACUGGUGAGGCGGUGGCUGCAGGAACACCAAUCAAAAGCAGAAGAAGAGAAGCCCCGCCGCUAGAAAAGAAAAACAAUCGGCGGGCACCAGGAGACAUGAGAGAAGCUCCACCUGAAAAUGGUAAUUCAUGACAAAAUUCAAGUGUACACCAACAAUUGCCCAUUAACACACAUACAGGUACUUGUAUUUUCAGUCUUAAGAUGGUACUACUUCAUUACUCAGGUAGUUAGCAUAUUGCCUGAUCCUUCUGCUUGAA
Long non-coding RNA from Lolium perenne, 425 nucleotides. RefSeq lists it as uncharacterized. The record is from RefSeq and is a predicted model, not a curated record. NCBI's taxonomy places the organism in Eukaryota, Viridiplantae, Streptophyta, Magnoliopsida, Poales, Poaceae.